Molecule: ribosomal RNA, 2785 nt
Filed under: Mesorhizobium sp. NFR06
Lineage: Bacteria; Pseudomonadati; Pseudomonadota; Alphaproteobacteria; Hyphomicrobiales; Phyllobacteriaceae
Description: 23S rRNA. Bacterial LSU
Rfam family: Bacterial large subunit ribosomal RNA
Source: RNAcentral
CGAUCAAGUGUCUUAAGGGCAAUUGGUGGAUGCCUUGGCAUGCACAGGCGAUGAAGGACGUGAUACGCUGCGAUAAGCUACGGGGAGGUGCGAAUACCCUUUGAUCCGUAGAUUUCCGAAUGGGGAAACCCACCUAAGGUACUUGGAAAAUCAGAGCAGCAGGGCACCAAGUAUCGCUAAUAGGUAACUUAUCCUGAAUACAUAGGGAUAAAGUGGCGAACGCGGGGAACUGAAACAUCUAAGUACCCGUAGGAAAGGACAUCAACCGAGACUCCGGAAGUAGUGGCGAGCGAAACCGGACCAGGCCAGUGGCGAUUGAGAGACAAGCGGAACCUUCUGGAAAGUAGGGCCAUAGCGGGUGACAGCCCCGUACGCGUAAUGCGAUCAAUCGUCCUCGAGUAAGGCGGGACACGUGAAAUCCUGUCUGAAAUUGGGAGGACCACCUUCCAAGCCUAAGUACUCGUGCAUGACCGAUAGCGAACUAGUACCGUGAGGGAAAGGUGAAAAGCACCCCGACAAGGGGAGUGAAAGAGUACCUGAAACCGAUUGCCUACAAACAGUGGGAGCCCGCAAGGGUGACCACGUACCUUUUGUAUAAUGGGUCAGCGACUUAGUGUGACGAGCAAGCUUAAACCGAUAGGUGUAGGCGCAGCGAAAGCGAGUCUGAACAGGGCGUUCAGUUCGUCGCAUUAGACCCGAAACCGAGUGAUCUAGCCAUGAGCAGGUUGAAGGUAAGGUAACACUUACUGGAGGACCGAACCCAUAACUGUUGCAAUAGUUCGGGAUGACUUGUGGCUAGGGGUGAAAGGCCAAUCAAACUCGGAAAUAGCUGGUUCUCCGCGAAAUCUAUUUAGGUAGAGCGUCGACCGAAUACCCCAGGGGGUAGAGCACUGGAUGGGCUAGGGGUCCUCACCGGAUUACCAAACCUAACCAAACUCCGAAUACCUGGGAGUACUAGUCGGCAGACACACGGCGGGUGCUAACGUCCGUCGUGAAAAGGGAAACAACCCUGACCUACAGCUAAGGUCCCCAAGUUAUGGCUAAGUGGGAAAGGAUGUGAGGAUCCCAAAACAACCAGGAUGUUGGCUUAGAAGCAGCCAUCAUUUAAAGAAAGCGUAACAGCUCACUGGUCUAAAUAAGGGUCUUUGCGCCGAAAAUGUAACGGGGCUAAAGCCAUACACCGAAGCUUAGGGUUCGUGAGCAAUCACGAGCGGUAGCGGAGCGUUCUGUAAGCUGAUGAAGCCGUACCCGUGAGGGGCGGUGGAGGUAUCAGAAGUGCGAAUGCUGACAUGAGUAACGUAAGGGGAGUGAGAGACUCCCCCGCCGAAAGACCAAGGGUUCCUGCUUAAAGUUAAUCUGAGCAGGGUUAGCCGGCCCCUAAGACGAGGCGGAAACGCGUAGUCGAUGGGAACCACGUUAAUAUUCGUGGGCCUGGAGGUAGUGACGGAUCACACAAGUUGUCCAAUCUUAUCGGAUUGAAAGGGCAGCGGAGUGGUUCCAGGAAAUAGCUCCUCCUUAUAGACCGUACCCGAAACCGACACUGGUGGUCAGGUAGAGUAUACCAAGGCGCUUGAGAGAACUAUGCUGAAGGAACUCGGCAAAUUGCACGCGUAACUUCGGAAGAAGCGUGACCCUUUUCUGCGCAAGCAGAGGAGGGUGGCACAGACCAGGGGGUAGCGACUGUUUAUCAAAAACACAGGGCUCUGCGAAGCCGCAAGGCGACGUAUAGGGUCUGACGCCUGCCCGGUGCUGGAAGGUUAAGAGGAGGGGUGCAAGCUCUGAAUCGAAGCCCCAGUAAACGGCGGCCGUAACUAUAACGGUCCUAAGGUAGCGAAAUUCCUUGUCGGGUAAGUUCCGACCUGCACGAAUGGCGUAACGACUUCCCCGCUGUCUCCAGCAUAGACUCAGUGAAAUUGAAUUCCCCGUGAAGAUGCGGGGUUCCUGCGGUUAGACGGAAAGACCCCGUGCACCUUUACUAUAGCUUUACAUUGGCAUUCGUAGUGGCAUGUGUAGGAUAGGUGGUAGGCUUUGAAACCUGGGCGCCAGCUCAGGUGGAGCCACCCUUGAAAUACCACCCUUAUUACUAUGGAUGUCUAACCGCGGCCCGUUAUCCGGGUCCGGGACAAUGUAUGGUGGGUAGUUUGACUGGGGCGGUCGCCUCCUAAAGAGUAACGGAGGCGCGCGAUGGUGGGCUCAGAACGGUCGGAAAUCGUUCGCUGAGUGCAAUGGCAUAAGCCUGCCUGACUGCGAGACUGACAAGUCGAGCAGAGACGAAAGUCGGUCAUAGUGAUCCGGUGGUCCCGCGUGGAAGGGCCAUCGCUCAACGGAUAAAAGGUACGCCGGGGAUAACAGGCUGAUGACCCCCAAGAGUCCAUAUCGACGGGGUUGUUUGGCACCUCGAUGUCGACUCAUCGCAUCCUGGGGCUGGAGCAGGUCCCAAGGGUAUGGCUGUUCGCCAUUUAAAGCGGUACGUGAGUUGGGUUCAGAACGUCGUGAGACAGUUCGGUCCCUAUCUGCCGUGGGUGUAGGAAUAUUGAAAGGAUCUGUCCCUAGUACGAGAGGACCGGGAUGGACGGAUCUCUGGUGGACCUGUUGUGGCGCCAGCCGCAUUGCAGGGUAGCUAUAUCCGGACGGGAUAACCGCUGAAGGCAUCUAAGCGGGAAACCCACCUUGAAACGAGUAUUCCCUGAGAACCGUGGAAGACGACCACGUUGAUAGGCCGGGUGUGGAAGAGCGGCAACGCUUGAAGCUUACCGGUACUAAUAGUUCGAUCGGCUUGAUCGUU